This is a long non-coding RNA of Mytilus californianus (California mussel), 1011 nucleotides long. RefSeq lists it as uncharacterized. The transcript has 3 exons. NCBI's taxonomy places the organism in Eukaryota, Metazoa, Mollusca, Bivalvia, Mytilida, Mytilidae. The record is from RefSeq and is a predicted model, not a curated record.
CUUACUAGUUGUUUCGAUAGUCAGGUUGCAGUUAAAUUGUUUGGAAAACAAAAAUGAAUAUUCAAAUACCUUUACUGAGUAUAUUCGUUUGUGUGUUUUUACCAAAGAGUUAUGAUGGAACACUGACUUACAACUAUUAUGAUGAGAUGGCGCAAUCGUACUGUGUGAGUCGCUCAUCAGGCUGGGUGUUUGCUCUUCGACGAGACUGUGCGAGACGAGCAGGUACUUGCAACAAAAUCUGUGCAAGUGCAAAGAGUAAAAUACUGGCUUCAAUCGACUACAAGGCAAAACAAGUCCGUUGCUUCGAUGGAUAUCAUGUUAUUAAAUAUAAUAACAGGCUCCGGGACAACCCAUCGAGUGCACAGCCUGAUUCGAACACAGUUAUCUUCAAGACCUACGGUUUCGGUAGUCGUGGAUGUACCUGGAAAGCUAACCAUUGUGGUCCAAACUACUGCUGUUGCAAGGCUUUCUGAAAGGUCUAAGAAAAAUUCAAUCUCAGUUACAGAUGAAAUAACCUAUCCUGUAUUGUGGCUUUUUAUAUCAAAUAUAAUAUAUAUUAAGGAUGUUCUCUUCUCUUGUUUUGAAAUUUUGUCAGAUAAUUGGAAUCCUUUUGAAUUAUCUAUUAAGGUGGUACCUAACACUACAGGGAGAUAACUCUUUAAAAAUCAGCUAAACGUUUUAAUUACGUUGUAUUGUUAAGAAAAUAUUAAGCUUCUACAUGAUCAAAAUUAGUGUUUGUCAAACUGCUAUAUAGCCAAUGAAAUUUUUCUGAUAAAGUGGUUGGUUCAAAUUUUUUGAAAUUUUUAUAUUUUUGUCAAAGGGUCAAAGUAAACAUUUUGUCAAAUUUUUAUGAAAAUUAAACGAGCCAAAUUAAUAUUAGUCAAGGUGUUGGGUACCACCUUAAGUGCAAAUAAAACUUUACCCGCUAACCCCUACUUUUAUUUUCAUGAUUUUAUCACAUACACAGUUUAAAAAGCCAUUUUUAAAAAUUUCAUUAAAUCCUUCAUAUUG